UCCGGUGGUUAUGGCGGAGGGGAAACACCCGGUCCCAUUCCGAACCCGGUAGUUAAGCCCUCCAGCGCCGAUGGUACUGCAUGGGAGACUGUGUGGGAGAGUAGGUCACCGCCGGAA
Ribosomal RNA from Thermomonospora curvata DSM 43183, 117 nucleotides. The record is from Rfam. Lineage: Bacteria; Bacillati; Actinomycetota; Actinomycetes; Streptosporangiales; Thermomonosporaceae.